Helianthus annuus (common sunflower) is the source of this 1736-nucleotide long non-coding RNA. RefSeq lists it as uncharacterized. The transcript is spliced from 6 exons. The record is from RefSeq and is a predicted model, not a curated record. Lineage: Eukaryota; Viridiplantae; Streptophyta; Magnoliopsida; Asterales; Asteraceae.
UUCCUCAAACUAUUAUUCUCAUUCAAAAUUCAAAUUCAAAGAAAAGAGUACCAGAGAAGAGUAUGAGAGAAGAAAGGAGAGAGUUGAAGUUCUCUCUGCCCACUUUCUCUCUCCAGUUUUUCAAAAACAUCUCAUUCAAAAUUCAAAUUCAUUAUUUCCCUUCUCCAAAACCCUAAACCCAAUUUUCCCAUGGAAGACCACACUCCGAUAAUCAUUGAUGGAACAACAUUGAAGACCUCUCUCAAGGUUAGAUUUGAUGUAUUGGAAAACCCUAAUCCUAUUAGCAAUUGAAGAUGCCGCUAAUCUCCGAUCAUUUAUCGCUUUGUUCUCCAAGUUUUUACGAACAUAAUCAAGCCGAUAUUGACUCAAUUCAGUUUGUAGUUGGACAUAAAUUGAAUAAGAAAAAAGUAUACAUCAAGUAUACUAGAUGUGUAGGGAGAAGGCACCUAUGGAAAAGUAUACAAAGCCAGAGAGAAAGCCACCGGCAAAAUUGUUGCUCUCAAGAAAACUAAACUUCAUGAAGACGAGGAAGGCGUUCCGCCUACUACGCUCCGAGAGAUCUCGACCCUGCGGAUGCUCUCACGUGAUCCUCAUGUGGUUAAGCUGAUGGAUGUGAUGCAAGGUGUGAAUAAAAAUGGGAAUACUGAAAUCGGAUAUGAAUUUUGUUUCAGGUAUAAGCUCUAAAAGAAGAGAUCGGAUAAGUAAAUCAGUUUCCCCCGAUUGUUUCGAUGGAAGUUUUGGUAGUGAUUUGCCACGACAACGGUGACUGCCGGUGGCAGAGGAGGACUCUGGACGCCGGGCAGCGAUGGAGGAUUGUGGUGGCGCAGGCGAAUUCUAGACUUGAAAGUUACCGGUUGCUUUUUACAUUUUUUUUGUAUUGGUUCCUUUUUAAUAUAUGAGUUUACCUGGAAAUCUUUGUUUUGUGUAGAGCCCCAAACUGCCAAACGGAUUUCAACGCCCAAAGUCAGAGAGCUAGGUCUUAAAACGAAAGGGGGCAACCUAUAGAAGUUGAAGUGUCAGCAUAUGUUGAUUGUUCAAUCGAAAUCUCAAAUCAAAAUGGAUUUCAACUCAGUAAUGCCUUUGAUCCUUUGUUUGUUUUGACAAAUCAAAAUGGAUUUCAACUCACUGUGUACGGCAAAGGGUUUAUAGCCCGCGACAUGGGUUUCCGCAACACCGCCGGUGCUUCCAAGCACCAGGCCGUUGCUCUAAUGUCGAUAGCCGACCAAUCUGUAUUCUACCGUUGCCAAACGACGCUUUCCAAGACCCUCUUUACGCCCAUGCCAACCGCCAGUUUUACAAAGAAUGCAACAUUUACGGCAUAGUAGACUUCAUUUUCAACAACUCAGCCGUUGUCCUUCAGAAGUGUGACAUACAUCCAAGGAGACCAAUGACUGGCCAACAAAACACGACCACGGCCGAAGGCAAGUUUGAUCCUAACCAAAUUCGGCAAGUUUCAUUUUGAUUCAAAAUUGCAACAUUUCGCCAUUCGGCAACUUGAUCCAAAGGGAUGGAUGCCAUGGGUUGGAACAUCGGCUCCCAACACGAUAUUUUACGCCGAACAUGCAGUUUUAUGUUGUAUAUUGUAUAGUUCAUUAACAACAUUAAUUGACUGAAUACUGACUACAGGUGGAUUUGAUACUGCCCUUGCUGCAGCUAGGUUAGAGUUUUGUUUGAAAAAAAAUUGUAACUCAAUAUAUUUCUUGGUAAGGUUUGCCAAACAUGGCUCUUAGCACGAA